UGGGGAAUAUUGCACAAUGGGGGAAACCCUGAUGCAGCGACGCCGCGUGGAGGAAGAAGGUCUUCGGAUUGUAAACUCCUGUUGUUGGGGAAAAUAAGGAUGGUACCCAACAAGGAAGUGACGGCUAACUACGUGCCAGCAGCCGCGGUAAAACGUAGGUCACAAGCGUUGUCCGGAAUUACUGGGUGUAAAGGGAGCGCAGGCGGGUAUGCAAGUUGGAAGUGAAAUACAUGGGCUCAACCCAUGAACUGCUUUCAAAACUGUGUAUCUUGAGUAGUGCAGAGGUAGGCGGAAUUCCCGGUGUAGCGGUGGAAUGCGUAGAUAUCGGGAGGAACACCAGUGGCGAAGGCGGCCUACUGGGGCACCAACUGACGCUGAGGCUCGAAAGUGUGGGUAGCAAACAGGAUUAGAUACCCUGU
Molecule: ribosomal RNA, 419 nt
Filed under: uncultured bacterium
Lineage: Bacteria
Description: bacterial SSU rRNA
Rfam family: Bacterial small subunit ribosomal RNA
Source: RNAcentral